AUUUAGUCGGCCCUGAUUGGUCUGAUUCACGACGGCGUCUGGCGUCACACAUAGCCUCGUGCAGAGCCAUAAUCUAUUCUAUUUGACAUUUGCGGAUCUCUUCUCUUGUCGAACCUACUCCGGAGAUGUAACGAACUGGUCAACAGCAGUUAGAUAGCAGAAAGAUGAUUGCCUCGAUUGAUUUGAUCCAUCCAACUGUCUGCAAACAUGGAUCUCUGAUGCAGCCAGUGCGGUUGGGAGAUUCUUACGGGUGCCAAGUUUGCAGAAAAUUUGGCGAUUACCCAGCCAUUGUUGCACAUGUUCAAACACAUGACAAAGCAGCCGUAUCUCACAAUGGCUACAAAAUCUAUAGGUGCCAACACAACUGUGCC
Long non-coding RNA from Gadus morhua (Atlantic cod), 371 nucleotides. The record is from Ensembl. Lineage: Eukaryota; Metazoa; Chordata; Actinopteri; Gadiformes; Gadidae.